GUCGGCGUAGCUCAUCAGGAUAGAGCAACAGUUUCCUAAACUGUGGGUAGUGGGUUCGAGUCCCGCCGCUGACACCA
RNAcentral lists this transfer RNA (77 nucleotides) under Acetobacter sp. Its description in RNAcentral is "tRNA-Arg". It matches the Rfam family "tRNA". From Rfam's summary of the family: Transfer RNA (tRNA) molecules are approximately 80 nucleotides in length. Their secondary structure includes four short double-helical elements and three loops (D, anti-codon, and T loops). The record is from RNAcentral. Lineage: Bacteria; Pseudomonadati; Pseudomonadota; Alphaproteobacteria; Acetobacterales; Acetobacteraceae. RNAcentral also lists the same sequence under 3 other names.